GAAUUUGUAAUGUGGAACUUUGUUCAAGGGAUGCUGGUGAUGAAUGAUUCUGGAACUGUCUUUUUCUCCUUUUAUGAUUCAUGGGAUUCUCCUCAUCAGAAUAACCUUUUGGAGAUUUUAACCCAAAGCUUCUUCAGUGGCAAAACAGUCUUUCAUCAUGCAAAAAGAGGAUGAAAUAUCCCAGAACACUCAGCAAAGAAAAUGUAUGCAGAAUGUUUCAUAAAGCCCUGAAUAAAGCUGCCUUCUUCGUCGUUGUCUUCUUUUGUUAGUGCUGCAGGCAGAUGGCUGCAGAGAAAAGAUACUGUCAUGUCAAGUUGAGCUUUAUGUCCUCAGCUCACCCCUUCUGUUAGCCAGCCUCUCUAGCGCCCAGUCAGCAUUUUCUUCUGGUUUCAUGGCAGUUUUCAUGUCUAUGCCUGGCUUAUGAAAAUAAAUGGAGAGUGUAGUUUCCCAUCAUUAUCAGUCACAAGUGCAAAUAUAUGUGUUGCUGUGGUUUAAAGUGUGAGUUCAGAAACACUCAGCACUGGUCUAGUUUGGAAGUCAAUGCAAUUUGUGGUGUUGGCUUUAGCAGACAGGAAUGGUGUGUAAUACUUCAUAUCACAAUAGCAAUGGAGGUGGCAUUAUUUUUCUUAACUUGCAUAAACAUACCUCCUGACUACAUUGGCAAAAUUACAGUCUUUAUUUGCUAGGAAAGCUUUGUGGCUUCUCUGGCAUUAGAAUGAGAGGUUUUGAGCAGUGCAGGUGCUGUCAGUGGAAGUGACAGGGAGGAGGAAGGGGAAAGAAUUUCUUCAAGGAAGGAAGUUACAGAAAGUAAGUGCAAGAAUUUAGAAGAUGCUGGAUGCUUGUGGUGAGUAAGAGUUUCCCUUUAAGGGAUCAAGCAAGGAAGCAUUUAUAAAUUGGAAAAUAGUUCAGUUUUUCUUUGAAGCUUCCCCCAUAUGCUACAUAGCUUCAUUGAAAUAAAUGAAAUGAAGUUCAUGGGAAAUUUAUGGGAGCAUUGACAUGCAGGUGACGGACUCUCCCUCCUUGGAGGUUUUUAAGCAGAGGUUGGAUAGCCAUCUGUCAUGUAUGAUCUAGCUGAGGGUUCCCUUCCAUCUACAAUUCUAUGAUUCUACAAUGUGGAAAUAGUAAAGCACAUCCUUUUCCUCUGGCUGCUCCUCAGCCCUAAACUUUCUGAAGCUGCUUCAGUCUCUUAAAAAUGGCCCUGGGGCCGUGCAUAAGGCUCCAGGACAUGGCCUGAAGCCACAGGAUGCAGCAUGUUUGCUGAGUCUAAACCAGGCUUCCUCAGCCUCAGCCCUCCAGAUGUCUUGAGACUACAAUUCCUAUCAUCCCUGACCACUGGUCCUGCUAGCUAGGGAUCAUGGGAGUUGUAGGCCAAAAACAACUUGAGGAAGCCUGGUCUAGACAGAUCUGGGUUUUGUUAAUCCCUGGUUGAGAGGCCAAUUUGGAACCCUGUGUACCAUGUCUUGAUUUCCAUGAUGGAAGAGGGGCAGGAUAUAAAUAUAAUAGUGUAAAUGACCACGUAACAUAUAAUUAGCCCUUCAGUUUGCCAUUAUCUAAAUAUCUGUAAGUUACAUAGAUAAAAGAAUAUGCAGAUCAUGAGAUAAUAAUGAUUGCACCAUGCGAAGUCCAUGAGUUGCAGAAUUAAUGGGAUUGCACUCCCUCAUAUAUCUCCAGGAGUCAUAUUAUUUCUAGACUUCAGACUCUGCUGUAGAGAGAAAGUAUUAUUUUUAAUGUGUAUUACUAUGGGAGGAAGUCAACAUUUUCAAUUGGAAUUGCAGAGUUAAUUCUUUCCCCCCUUUGGCAUUAAAGCUCUGCGAUUAAUAUCUGCCUCUGAGCUUGCCACAUUAGAGCAUUCAGCAUCCAUCAAGAAAAAAUCUCCAAGUCUAAACAGUUUCAUUAUGCAUACUUAUCUGCUUGGAAGGUAAAAGUGGUUUAUCUCUUUCCUCUUUGAAGCACGGUGCUGGGCUGACAGAUUGUCCUUUGAUUUCUUAUGAACUGGCAAGAAAAAGAGAAUGACUUUGAGCCUUCUCUGGCAAUGCACAACAACUACUCAAAAUGCUUUUGUAUUCUGCAGGAUCAGGUAAUCAAGGUUGGAUAAGCCAUGACGCUGAGCAUCCACGCACACAUUCAGUAAGGACUCCUGGGACAAUCCUUCUGUGGCCACUGUGCCACUUCAGAAUACCAAUGCAUUUCAUUGUUUUUAUAAAGAUUUCUGUACCCUGCCCUGAGAUCUAUAUGAUACAAGGUGGGCUAUGGAUAUGUUUAAAUAUAAGUAGGGUAAUUGUAUGACUAAAUGCUUUUAACGCCAAAACUUCCCUGCCUAUGGAAAGCUAGUAUGCCAGAGGUAUGUCCUGAUGUCCUAGAUUUCUAGGUGCUACAUGUUUUUUAUACGGCGAGAUUCACUCACAUUGUUUUUACAGUUGCACUCUGAAGUUGUACAGCCCAAGAAAAGCUGUACCACAUGCUUUUACUGAACAUGUACAUUGGCUUUGAGUACUCUACAGGGUAGGACCACAGGCAACUGAGUCCCCAACUUUGAUGCAAUUAUCUGUUUCUUUUCUUUCUUUUUUGGUUUCCAUUUUUAUUGUAAAUUUCUGUGCUACAUAGAGGCAUGGUAGGUCAAGCCCUAAAUGCAGCAAACAACAAAAAUGCAAGUUUCAAACGGAAAUGAGAGGCGGACGGAAAAGCCUGUCACAUAAGACAGGCAAAUCUUACAACAAAGUACAGGAUUACAUAUACAUUUUGGAUUACAUCAGUCAUGUGAACACAGUUUAAAAACUCAGCACUGGAAGGUAGAAAAGCUUCCUAUCCAGGAAUGUAUAGAGGUGUGUUUUAGGGUGCACAUUAACACCCACAUGAGCUGAAUGAAAGUCUUAGCAGGUGCAGGGAUUUCAUGAAAGACAGGUUGAUAUGGGAAGAGUUCCAUAACAGUAGGAAGUUUUUAAAAAACUGCUGUAGGGUGAUGCUCCCUUGAGUACUAACACAAAGAUAAAGCACCACGCUACCUACAGGGUGGCAGGGAUGUAGAGGCGCCCCUGGGUUAUGAAACUCAUCUGUGCAAAAAUAAUUCUUAGCGUUUUGUUCUGAGUCAGUGUUUUGCACACUCUGGACAUUUUCUGUCCAUUGAUAAAGUGAAGACUGGCAUUUAAGUAAAGGUCUUUUGCCAAAAGGCACUUGAGACUACAAGAAAACUCCACAGGAAAUAGGGGGAAAUAUGCAUUACUUAACACUGCAAGUCCUACAGUAAUAGCGUUUAGUCGACUGAAGGACCUGCAGGGUUUAUGCCCUUUGAGAAUGAACCCACUGUUAUCCUCAGAUUACAUAAGAAAAACUCAAGCAGGAAACUUGUGAUCAGAUUCACCCAGCCAUAAUCUCAUUAUAGCAACUGCAUGCUGUAGGGAAAAGCCAAUGAAACUUGGUUACUCACAUAUUUUAAUAAAGGUGUGUUUUGGGACCUAGACAGCAUCUUAAAAAGCAGGGGAUUCCCUACUGAGGGGAACAGAAGCAGUGAUCUGUGGGCCUGACAAGAUGUCUUGGGAAGUGUGCUGUCUCCCCGGGGCUAAGAUCCAAGAUGUAACUGAACGACUGCAAGGAAUCAUAAAACCCACUGACAAAUACCCCUUCCUCUUGGUUCAUGUGGGAACCAAUGACACUGCCAGCAAUAGCCUCCAGAAGAUCAAAAGAGACUACGAAGCUCUGGGUAGGAAAUUGAAGCAAUUAAAUGCACAAAUUGUCAUCUCAUCUGUCCUCCCAGUUGAACGACGUGGCCCGGGGGGAGAGGGAAAAAUAGUGGAAGUGAACAGCUGGCUUCCCAAAUGGUGUAAACAGGAACAGUUUGGAUUCUUAGAUCACGGACUGCAGUUUCUUGAAGAUGGACUUCUGGCAAGCGAUGGGCUGCACCUCACAACGGUUGGGAGGAAUGUUUUUGCCAAAAAUCUCAGAAACCUCAUCAGGAGGGCUUUAAACUGACUAAUGUGGGGGAGGGAGACAGUGCUCCUGAAGGUAGGAGUCUUAUCAGUUGAUGAAGAUGAUCAUCCAAAUGUCAUAGACCAAAUGGAGCAAACAGCACGCAGACCUAGUGGUGGGAGGAAAAAUCCUUAAAUAAGAGACACGGGGGAAUGAUUAAUGGACUUCAAUGUCUGUACACUAAUGCGCAAAGCAUGGGAAUAAACAAGAUGAGCUUGAGCUCUUGGUACAGCAAACUAAAUAUGACAUAAUAGGCAUCACUGAAACCUGGUGGGAUAAGUCCCACGAUUGGAAUGUAAUAAUGGAGGGAUACAAUCUAUUUCAGAGAAACAGACCAGACAAGAAAGGAGGAGGAGUGGCGUUAUAUGUCAGGGAUGUGUAUACCUGUGAAGAGAUCCAAGAUUUAGAACCUCAAAGCCAAAGUGAGAGCAUUUGGGUCAAAAUUAAGGGAGAGAAGAAUAACAGUGACCUCAUUGUGGGAGUUUACUAUAGAUCCCCAAGCCAAACGGAGGACAUAGAUGAUGCCUUCCUGGAACAGAUGGCCAAGCAUGCAAAAGGAAGGAGAUAGUAGUAAUGGGGGACUUCAAUUACCCGGAUAUUUGUUGGAUGUCAAACUCAGCCAAGAGCAUAAGGUCAAACAGAUUCCUGACUGGCCUUGCAGACAACUUCAUUGUCCAGAAAGUGGGAGAAGCAACAAGAGGAACAGCCAUUUUAGAUCUGGUCCUAACCAAUGUUGAUGACCUGCUUAGUGGGGUAGAAGUGGAAGGAUCAUUAGGCGCGAGUGAUCAUGCUCUUCUGAAGUUUACUAUACAGCAGAAAAGAGCAGGCAAGCAUACUAGGACUCAAUUUCUUGACUUUAAGAAAGCCGACUUCAUAAAACUUAGGGAAGUGCUGGGUGAGAUCCCAUGGACAGUAAUACUAAAAGGAAAGGGAGUUCAUGAUGGCUGGGAGUUUGUUAAGAGGGAGAUAGUAAAAGCACAACUUCAGGCAAUACCAAUGAGACGGAAACAUGGAAGGUGCCCAAAGAAGCCAGGGUGGCUAUCUAAAGAACUUUUAACUGAGUUAAGAUUAAAAAGGAUGGCGUGCUCUGGUCCAUGAGGUCAUAGAAUCAUAGAAUCAUAGAGUUGGAAGAGACCACAAGGGCCAUCGAGUCCAACCCCCUGCCAAGCAGGAAACACCAUCAGAGCACUCCUGACAUAUGGUUGUCAAGCCUCUGCUUAAAGACCUCCAAAGAAGGAGACUCCACCACACUCCUUGGCAGCAAAUUCCACUGUCGAACAGCUCUUACUGUCAGGAAGUUCUUCCUAAUGUUUAGGUGGAAUCUUCUUUCUUGUAGUUUGGAUCCAUUGCUCCGUGUCCGCUUCUCUGGAGCAGCAGAAAACAACCUUUCUCCCUCCUCUAUGUGACAUCCUUUUAUAUAUUUGAACAUGGCUAUCAUAUCACCCCUUAACCUCCUCUUCUCCAGGCUAAACAUGCCCAGCUCCCUUAGCCGUUCCUCAUAAGGCAUCUUUUCCAGGCCUUUGACCAUUUUGGUUGCCCUCCUCUGGACACGUUCCAGUUUGUCAGUGUCUUUCUUGAACUGUGGUGCCCAGAACUGGACACAGUACUCCAGGUGAGGUCUGACCAGAGCAGAAUACAGUGGCACUAUUACUUCCCUUGAUCUAGAUGCUAUACUCCUAUUGAUGAGGCCCAGAAUUGCAUUGGCUUUUUUAGCUGCCGCUUCACACUGUUGGCUCAUGUCAAGUUUGUGGUUAACCAAGACUCCUAGAUCCUUUUCACAUGUACUGCUCUCAAGACAGGUGUCCCCCAUCUUGUAUUUGUGCCUCUCAUUUUUUUUGCCCAAGUGCAAUACUUUACAUUUCUCCCUGUUCAAAUUCAUCUUGUUUGUUUUGGCCCAGUUCUCUAAUCUGUCAAGGUCGUUUUGAAGUGUGAUCCUGUCCUCUGGGGUGUUAGCCACCCCUCCCAGUUUGGUGUCAUCUGCAAAUUUGAUCAGGAUGCCCUUGAGUCCAUCAUCCAAGUCAUUGAUAAAGAUGUUGAAUAAGACCGGGCCCAAGACAGAACCCUGUGGCACCCCACUAGUCACUCUUCUCCAGGAUGAAGAGGAACCAUUGAUGAGCACCCUUUGGGUUCGGUCAGUCAGCCAGUUACAAAUCCACUGAGUGGUAGCAUAGUCAAGACCGCAUUUUACCAGCUUCUUUACAAGAAUAUCAUGGGGCACCUUGUCGAAUGCCUUGCUGAAAUCAAGGUAGGCUACAUCCACUGCGUUCCCUUCAUCUACCAGGCUUGUAAUUCUGUCAAAAACGAGAUCAGGUUAGUCUGACAUGACUUAUUUUCAGAAAUCCAUGCUGACUAUUGGUGAUCACAGCAUUCCUUUCUAGGUGCUCACAGACAGUUUGCUUAAUGAUCUGCUCCAGAAUCUUCCCUGGUAUUGAUGUCAGACUGACUGGGCGGUAAUUAUUUGGGUCCUCUCUUUUCCCCUUUUUGAAAAUAGGGACAACAUUUGCCCUCCUCCAGUCUGCUCAGAAGUCUUCAUAUAUUCUUUAAAAAGAAACAAACACCAACAAAUAAGGCUCCACCUUUUUAUGCUCAUUUUGGUUUUUAGAAAAUAAUUAAAUAAGAUUAAUCAGUUAUUGGAUGGCUUUGCAUACCUCUUUUGCCAUAGUGAUGAAAAUGGCAAUUGCCCUCUUGACAGGGACGGAGGACGGGGUGUGUGGUAGGUGUGGGCUGCCCCAGGUGUCACCACUGGGGGUGUGUAUGACAAAAUGCCGGGCGGCACUCACUACGGAGCCUGCAGUGUGCCUGAGCCACGCGUCUCUCCUGGGAGAGACACGGUGGCUUGGGGGCGCGCAGGCUCUGCGCUGCCCAAACGGUCUGCUUGCUGCCUCCCCCCCCCAGCUGUAGGGCGGCUGAGUGGGAGGAGGCAGGCAGACUCCUCAGAGGCUCUGCAGUGCGCCCCACCCUUAUGGGCGGCUCACCCCAGGUGCCCGAGCGGCUUCCUCCGCCGCUGCCUCUCAAAUAAAUGAUAUCUUUCUCCCAUCACAGGAAGACAACCUCUCUUUUGCCAUUACUAGGAAUAAAUAUCCUCAUUUUAUUUUUGCCCAUAAAACGUCCUAUGAAACAAGAAAUAAAUGUCAUCAGCUACAUGUGCGUCACAGGCUUCUUCUUCUUCUUCUUCUUCUUCAGCCUUGUAUUAUAUUUGGCUUUCAGGAAAUAGCUGUUUCACAAACCAGGCAACCAUUCUAGAGCAAAUUGGGCUAUUUAGCAGUGCAAGAUUACUUAAUUUUUUGGAUUCUGCUAUUGGAAAUCCAGGUACAAAAUGGUCUCAUCUUGUCUGGUUUAAAACAUGCCAAUAAAAUAAAAUAAAAUAAGAUUCUCCACUGUUCUGAUUUCUAAACUGAUUGGCUAGUAGGUUUAGUCAUUGGAUUAUAUAGUCCAAGCUUUUUUUCUGCACAGGCUCAGGGUUUUCCAUCUGUUUUCAUGCCCAUAUCGCACAGCCAGAUCUCAUUCAUUGAUAUUGAUGCUUUAAAUAACUCAAUUAUAUAUUUUUAAUUAAGAAGAAAAGAUGCUGAACUUGAUUGUGCCCCCCCCCCAAAAAAAUUAGUCACUCCUUCUCUCUUAUCCCUAGGUAUUAGAGAGACUUCUGAAUUUGACUUUUGCUUACUCUCUUUGCAACACUCAUUUGAAUAUUUCACAAAGGCUCUGCAGGUUGAUAAGUAAAUUUAAUUGAGAUCUUUUCCAUGUACAAACAACACACACACACACACCUUUGUUUCAAAUACAAAGAAACAUUUGUUCUAAGUAACAAGAAGGGUCAUUUCAGCUGUUUCUUGACGCUAUAAAAGCAGCAGCAGAAACC
RNAcentral lists this long non-coding RNA (7819 nucleotides) under Podarcis lilfordi (Lilford's wall lizard). The record is from RNAcentral. Lineage: Eukaryota; Metazoa; Chordata; Lepidosauria; Squamata; Lacertidae.